RNAcentral lists this ribosomal RNA (484 nucleotides) under uncultured bacterium. RNAcentral's name for it is "bacterial SSU rRNA". It matches the Rfam family "Bacterial small subunit ribosomal RNA", at positions 28 to 502 of the family's 1533-position model. The record is from RNAcentral.
GAUGAACGCUAGCGAUAGGCCUAACACAUGCAAGUCGAGGGGCAUCACAUGAAGUAGCAAUACGGAUGGUGGCGACCGGCGCACGGGUGAGUAACACGUAUGCAACCUGCCUUCAACAAGGGGAUAACCCGUUGAAAGACGGACUAAUACCCUAUAACACAGGGGUCCCGCAUGGGAAUAUUUGUUAAAGGACAACCGGUUGAAGAUGGGCAUGCGUUCCAUUAGAUAGUUGGAGAGGUAACGGCUCCCCAAGUCAACGAUCAUUAGGGGUUCUGAGAGGAAGGUCCCCCACACUGGUACUGAGACACGGACCAGACUCCUACGGGAGGCAGCAGUGAGGAAUAUUGGUCAAUGGGCGAGAGCCUGAACCAGCCAAGUCGCGUGCAGGAAGAAUGUCCUAUGGAUUGUAAACUGCUUUUGCAGGGGAAUAAAGUGAGCCACGUGUGGUUUUUGUAUGUACUCUGCGAAUAAGGAUCGGCUAACU